UACGUAGGGGGCGAGCGUUGUCCGGAUUUAUUGGGCGUAAAGAGCUCGUAGGCGGUUUGGUAAGUUGGAUGUGAAAUCUCCAGGCUCAACUUGGAGGGGUCAUUCGAUACUGCCAUGACUAGAGUUCGGUAGGGGAGUGUGGAAUUCCUGGUGGAGCGGUGAAAUGCUCAGAUAUCAGGAGGAACACCCGUAGCGAAGGCGGCACUCUGGGCCGGAACUGACGCUGAGGAGCGAAAGCGUGGGGAGCGAACAGG
Molecule: ribosomal RNA, 254 nt
Filed under: uncultured bacterium
Lineage: Bacteria
Description: partial 16S ribosomal RNA
Rfam family: Bacterial small subunit ribosomal RNA
Source: RNAcentral